UACGGGGGGGGCGAGCGUUGUUCGGAAUUACUGGGCGUAAAGGGUUCGUAGGUGGCCUGCUAAGUCAGACGUGAAAUCCCUCAGCUUAACUGGGGAACUGCGUCUGAAACUGGCGGGCUUGAGUGCAGGAGAGGAACGCGGAAUUCCAGGUGUAGCGGUGAAAUGCGUAGAUAUCUGGAGGAACACCGGUGGCGAAGGCGGCGUUCUGGACUGCUACUGACACUGAGGAACGAAAGCCAGGGGAGCAAACAGG
RNAcentral lists this ribosomal RNA (253 nucleotides) under uncultured bacterium. RNAcentral's name for it is "partial 16S ribosomal RNA". It matches the Rfam family "Bacterial small subunit ribosomal RNA", at positions 524 to 776 of the family's 1533-position model. The record is from RNAcentral.